GGCACGGUAGCUGGGUGGGUAAAGCGCUCACAGCUAUUUACUCGAUACCAAACGUCGAUGGUUCGAUUCCAUCCUGGAGCAAGUUA
Molecule: non-coding RNA, 86 nt
Organism: Rhamnusium bicolor
Lineage: Eukaryota; Metazoa; Arthropoda; Insecta; Coleoptera; Cerambycidae
Source: the annotation of a GenBank genome assembly